UCGUAACAAGGUUUCCGUAGGUGAACCUGCGGAAGGAUCAUUACCGAGUGCGGGCCCUCGUGGCCCAACCUCCCACCCUUGUCUCUAUACACCUGUUGCUUUGGCGGGCCCACCGGGGCCACCUGGUCGCCGGGGGACAUCUGUCCCCGGGCCCGCGCCCGCCGAAGCGCUCUGUGAACCCUGAUGAAGAUGGGCUGUCUGAGUACUAUGAAAAUUGUCAAAACUUUCAACAAUGGAUCUCUUGGUUCCGGCAUCGAUGAAGAACGCAGCGAAAUGCGAUAAGUAAUGUGAAUUGCAGAAUUCCGUGAAUCAUCGAAUCUUUGAACGCACAUUGCGCCCCCUGGCAUUCCGGGGGGCAUGCCUGUCCGAGCGUCAUUUCUGCCCUCAAGCACGGCUUGUGUGUUGGGUGCGGUCCCCCCGGGGACCUGCCCGAAAGGCAGCGGCGACGUCCGUCUGGUCCUCGAGCGUAUGGGGCUUUGUCACUCGCUCGGGAAGGACUGGCGGGGGUUGGUCACCACCAAAAUUUUACCACGGUUGACCUCGGAUCAGGUAGGAGUUACCCGCUGAACCUAAGCAUAUCA
This 581-nucleotide unclassified non-coding RNA is filed under the name Talaromyces amestolkiae. Its description in RNAcentral is "sequence contains 18S rRNA gene, ITS1, 5.8S rRNA gene, ITS2, 28S rRNA gene". The stretch from base 222 to 375 matches the Rfam family "5.8S ribosomal RNA". The record is from RNAcentral. Lineage: Eukaryota; Fungi; Ascomycota; Eurotiomycetes; Eurotiales; Trichocomaceae.